GACGAACGCUGGCGGCGUGCUUAACACAUGCAAGUCGAACGGAAAGGCCCCACUUGGCGGGUACACGAGUGGGGAACGGGGGAGGAACACGCGGGGGAUCUGCCCUGCACAUCGGGGUAAGCCUGGGAGAAUGGGUGUAUUACCGGAGAGGUGCAAUGUCUAGUGUGAUGGUUGGAAAGAGUUUUCGGUGUAGGAUGAGCUCGCGGCCUAUCAGCUUGUUGGUGGGGUAAUGGCCUACCAAGGCGGCGACGGGUAGCCGGCCUGAGAGGGUGGACGGCCACAUUGGGACUGAGAUACGGCCCAGACUCCUACGGGAGGCAGCAGUGGGGAAUAUUGCACAAUGGGCGGAAGCCUGAUGCAGCGACGCCGCGUGGGGGAUGACGGCCUUCGGGUUGUAAACUCCUUUCGCUAGGGACGAAGCUUUUUGUGACGGUACCUGGAUAAGAAGCACCGGCUAACUACGUG
RNAcentral lists this ribosomal RNA (465 nucleotides) under uncultured bacterium. RNAcentral's name for it is "partial 16S ribosomal RNA". It matches the Rfam family "Bacterial small subunit ribosomal RNA", at positions 28 to 507 of the family's 1533-position model. The record is from RNAcentral.